This 777-nucleotide ribosomal RNA is filed under the name uncultured Neocallimastigales. Its description in RNAcentral is "partial large subunit ribosomal RNA". It matches the Rfam family "Eukaryotic large subunit ribosomal RNA", at positions 24 to 644 of the family's 3401-position model. Lineage: Eukaryota; Fungi; Neocallimastigomycota; Neocallimastigomycetes; Neocallimastigales. The record is from RNAcentral.
ACGACUACAUAUCAGGCAUAUCAAUAAGCGGAGGAAAAGAAACUAACAAGGAUUCCCUUAGUAACGGCGAGUGAAGCGGGAAGAGCUCAAAUUUGAAAUCUUCAAGGUUCUACCUUGACGAAUUGUAGUUUAUAGAAGUGUUUUCUGUUUGAAGUUCGGCUAAAAGUUCUUUGGAAUAGGACAUCAUAGAGGGUGAGAAUCCCGUAUUUGACGUCAUUCCUCCUAGCUGUUGUGAUACACUUUCAACGAGUCGGAUUGUUUGGGAAUGCAGUCCAAAAUGGGUGGUAAAUUUCAUCUAAAGCUAAAUAUUGGCGAGAGACCGAUAGCGAACAAGUACCGUGAGGGAAGGAUGAAAAGAACUUUGAAAAGAGAGUUAAACAGUACGUGAAAUUGUCAAAAGGGAAGCGUUUGACACCAGUGUUGUUUUUCCGAAAAUCAAUUACGAAUGUUUUAUUUUUGAGGAGUUAUGACUUCAUCGGCUUGCUCCUUUCUUUAUGAAACUUUCUUAAUGCACUUUUCGGUUAACAAGUCAACAUCAAUUUCUUUUGUUGUAAAAGGGUAAGAGGAAGGUGGCUUGCGCUUCGGCUCAAGUGUUUAUAGCCUUUUACCUCUGCAAUCGGAGAGAUUGAGGUCUGCAGCGUAGAUCCUUCGGGGUUAGAUACAUAUGUGCUAAGCUAUAGCCUUGUAUAGACAACUUGUUGACUAUGCUCAGUCAUGUAGCUUACUCGCUUAUGCUAUUUUACCUACGCUUAGGAUGUUGAAUCUGUGCGAGACUAC